UUGGAGGGCAAGUCUGGUGCCAGCAGCCGCGGUAAUUCCAGCUCCAAUAGCGUAUAUUAAAGUUGUUGCAGUUAAAAAGCUCGUAGUUGAAUUUCGGGAUUUAUCCGUCGGUCGGGCUUUUGGGUCUGUACUGGCGUGAUGGGUUCCUACCUUCUGAAUAACCGGCAUGUCAUUAAUUUGGUGCGCCGGGGAAGCAGGACUGUUACCUUGAAAAAAUUAGAGUGCUUAAAGCAGGCUUAUGCCUGAAUACAUUAGCAUGGAAUAAUGAAAUAGGACGGCAUGGUUCUAUUUUGUUGGUUUCUAGGAUCACCGUAAUGAUUAAUAGGGAUAGUUGGGGGCAUUAGUAUUCAAUUGUCAGAGGUGAAAUUCUUGGAUUUAUUGAAGACUAACUUCUGCGAAAGCAUUUGCCAAGGAUGUUUUCAUUAAUCAAGAACGAAAGUUAGGGGAUCGAAGACGAUCAGAUACCGUCGUAGUCUUAACCAUAAACUAUGCCGACUAGGGAUCGGACGAUGUUAAUUUUUUAAUGACUCGUUCGGCGCCUUACGGGAAAC
RNAcentral lists this ribosomal RNA (551 nucleotides) under uncultured Acaulospora. RNAcentral's name for it is "SSU rRNA". It matches the Rfam family "Eukaryotic small subunit ribosomal RNA", at positions 548 to 1098 of the family's 1831-position model. The record is from RNAcentral. Lineage: Eukaryota; Fungi; Glomeromycota; Glomeromycetes; Diversisporales; Acaulosporaceae.